GCCCUUAGAGUUUGAUCCUGGCUCAGGACGAACGCUGGCGGCGUGCUUAACACAUGCAAGUCGAGCGGAAAGGCCCUUCGGGGUACUCGAGCGGCGAACGGGUGAGUAACACGUGAGCAACCUGCCCUAGGCUUUGGGAUAACCCCGGGAAACCGGGGCUAAUACCGAAUAUUCACUUGCGGACGCAUGUUUGUGGGUGGAAAGUUUUUCGGCUUGGGAUGGGCUCGCGGCCUAUCAGCUUGUUGGUGGGGUGAUGGCCUACCAAGGCGACGACGGGUAGCCGGCCUGAGAGGGCGACCGGCCACACUGGGACUGAGACACGGCCCGGACUCCUACGGGAGGCAGCAGUGGGGAAUAUUGCACAAUGGGCGGAAGCCUGAUGCAGCGACGCCGCGUGAGGGAUGACGGCCUUCGGGUUGUAAACCUCUUUCAGCAGGGACGAAGCGCAAGUGACGGUACCUGCAGAAGAAGCGCCGGCCAACUACGUGCCAGCAGCCGCGGUAAGACGUAGGGCGCGAGCGUUGUCCGGAUUUAUUGGGCGUAAAGAGCUCGUAGGCGGCUUGUCGCGUCGACUGUGAAAACCCGUGGCUCAACUGCGGGCCUGCAGUCGAUACGGGCAGGCUAGAGUUCGGUA
Molecule: ribosomal RNA, 634 nt
Filed under: uncultured Actinomycetes bacterium
Lineage: Bacteria; Bacillati; Actinomycetota; Actinomycetes
Description: bacterial SSU rRNA
Rfam family: Bacterial small subunit ribosomal RNA
Source: RNAcentral